Molecule: ribosomal RNA, 451 nt
Filed under: uncultured bacterium
Lineage: Bacteria
Description: bacterial SSU rRNA
Rfam family: Bacterial small subunit ribosomal RNA
Source: RNAcentral
CAGCAGUGGGGAAUAUUGCACAAUGGGCGCAAGCCUGAUGCAGCCAUGCCGCGUGUGUGAAGAAGGCCUUCGGGUUGUAAAGCACUUUCAGUAGGGAGGAAGGUAGUGUAGUUAACACCUGCACUAUUUGACGUUACCUACAGAAGAAGCACCGGCUAACUCCGUGCCAGCAGCCGCGGUAAUACGGAGGGUGCGAGCGUUAAUCGGAAUUACUGGGCGUAAAGCGCAUGCAGGUGGUUUGUUAAGUCAGAUGUGAAAGCCCGGGGCUCAACCUCGGAACUGCAUUUGAAACUGGCAGACUAGAGUACUGUAGAGGGGGUAGAAUUUCAGGUGUAGCGGUGAAAUGCGUAGAGAUCUGAAGGAAUACCAGUGGCGAAGGCGGCCCCCUGGACAAAGACUGACGCUCAGAUGCGAAAGCGUGGGGAGCAAACAGGAUUAGAUACCCUGGUAG